UAAACAAACUUGGAAAUAGCUGGUUCUCUCCGAAAACUAUUUAGGUAGUGCCUCAAGUAUUACCAUCGGGGGUAGAGCACUGUUAUGGCUAGGGGGUCAUGGCGACUUACCAAACCAUUGCAAACUCCGAAUACCGAUGAGUACAGCUUGGGAGACAGUGCACCGGGUGCUAACGUCCGGACACAAGAGGGAAACAACCCAGACCGCCAGCUAAGGUCCCUAAAAUUGGCUAAGUGGGAAACGAAGUGGGAAGGCUAAAACAGUCAGGAUGUUGGCUUAGAAGCAGCCAUCAUUUAAAGAAAGCGUAAUAGCUCACUGAUCGAGUCGUCCUGCGCGGAAGAUGUAACGGGGCUAAGCCAGUUACCGAAGCUGCGGAUGUGCGCGCAAGCGUACGUGGUAGGAGAGCGUUCCGUAAGCCUGUGAAGGUGGGUCGUGAGGCCUGCUGGAGGUAUCGGAAGUGCGAAUGCUGACAUGAGUAGCGUUAAAGGGGGUGAAAAGCCCCCUCGCCGAAAGCGCAAGGUUUCCUACGCAACGUUCAUCGGCGUAGGGUGAGUCGGCCCCUAAGGCGAGGCAGAGAUGCGUAGCUGAUGGGAAACAGGUCAAUAUUCCUGUACCGAUAUGUAGUGCGAUGUGGGGACGGAGAAGGUUAACUCGGCCGGGUGUUGGAUGUCCCGGUUCAAGCGUGUAGUCGUGCUGCCCAGGCAAAUCCGGGCGGCUUAGAUGAGGCGUGACAACGAGGCGGCUUGCCGCCGAAGUGAGUGAUACCCUGCUUCCAGGAAAAGCCACUAAGCUCCAGCUACAUACGACCGUACCGCAAACCGACACUGGUGCGCGAGAUGAGUAUUCUAAGGCGCUUGAGAGAACUCAGGAGAAGGAACUCGGCAAAUUGACACCGUAACUUCGGAAGAAGGUGUGCCUUUAGUAGGUGAACCAUUUACUUGGGGAGCCCAAUGAGGCCGCAGAGAAUCGGUGGCUGCGACUGUUUAUUAAAAACACAGCACUCUGCAAAGACGAAAGUCGACGUAUAGGGUGUGACGCCUGCCCGGUGCUGGAAGAUUAAAUGAUGGGGUGCAAGCUCUUGAUUGAAGUCCCAGUAAACGGCGGCCGUAACUAUAACGGUCCUAAGGUAGCGAAAUUCCUUGUCGGGUAAGUUCCGACCUGCACGAAUGGCGUAACGAUGGCCACACUGUCUCCUCCAGAGACUCAGCGAAGUUGAAAUGUUUGUGAUGAUGCAAUCUCCCCGCGGAAAGACGGAAAGACCCCAUGAACCUUUACUGUAGCUUUACAUUGGACUUUGAACAGAUCUGUGUAGGAUAGGUGGGAGGCUUUGAAGCGGUGCCGCUAGGUGUCGUGGAGCCAACGUUGAAAUACCACCCUGGUGUGUUUGAGGUUCUAACCUUGGCCCGUGAUCCGGGUUGGGGACAGUGUAUGGUGGGCAGUUUGACUGGGGCGGUCUCCUCCCAAAGCGUAACGGAGGAGUUCGAAGGUACGCUAGGCACGGUCGGAAAUCGUGCUGAUAGUGCAUUGGCAUAAGCGUGCUUGACUGCGAGACUGACAAGUCGAGCAGGUACGAAAGUAGGACAAAGUGAUCCGGUGGUUCUGUAUGGAAGGGCCAUCGCUCAACGGAUAAAAGGUACUCUGGGGAUAACAGGCUGAUACCGCCCAAGAGUUCAUAUCGACGGCGGUGUUUGGCACCUCGAUGUCGGCUCAUCUCAUCCUGGGGCUGUAGCCGGUCCCAAGGGUAUGGCUGUUCGCCAUUUAAAGAGGUACGUGAGCUGGGUUUAAAACGUCGUGAGACAGUUUGGUCCCUAUCUUCCGUGGGCGCUGCAAGAUUGAGAGAGCCUGCUCCUAGUACGAGAGGACCGGAGUGGACGCACCUCUGGUGUAUCGGUUGUCACGCCAGUGGCAUCGCCGAGUAGCUAUGUGCGGAAGAGAUAACCGCUGAAAGCAUCUAAGCGGGAAACUCGUCUCAAGAUGAGUCUUGCCGGGGCCUUGAGCCCCCUGAAGAGUCGUUCU
Molecule: ribosomal RNA, 2016 nt
Filed under: soil metagenome
Description: bacterial LSU rRNA
Rfam family: Bacterial large subunit ribosomal RNA
Source: RNAcentral